This 74-nucleotide transfer RNA is filed under the name Archaeoglobales archaeon. RNAcentral describes it as "tRNA-Ala". It matches the Rfam family "tRNA". Rfam says of the family: Transfer RNA (tRNA) molecules are approximately 80 nucleotides in length. Their secondary structure includes four short double-helical elements and three loops (D, anti-codon, and T loops). Lineage: Archaea; Methanobacteriati; Methanobacteriota; Archaeoglobi; Archaeoglobales. The record is from RNAcentral. RNAcentral also lists the same sequence under 1 other name.
GGGCCGGUAGCUCAGCCUGGUAGAGCACCGUCUUGGCAUGGCGGGGGCCUGGGGUUCAAAUCCCCACCGGUCCA